AGCGAACGCUGGCGGCAGGCCUAACACAUGCAAGUCGAGCGAAGAAAAUUCCUUCGGGGAUGGUUAAAGCGGCGGACGGGUGCGUACAACAUGGAUAACCUACCAUAAGGUCUGGGAUAACCUCGGGAAACCGAAGCUAAUACCAGAUAAGACCACAUUAUCUGCGGAUAAAGGGGUAAAAGUUUUUCGCCUUUUGAUGGGUCCAUGCUCCAUCAGGUUGUUGGUGAGGUAAAAGCUCACCAAGCCUAAGACGGAUAGCCGGCCUUAGCGGGUGAUCGGCCACACGGGGACUGAGACACGGCCCCG
This 306-nucleotide ribosomal RNA is filed under the name uncultured bacterium. RNAcentral's name for it is "bacterial SSU rRNA". It matches the Rfam family "Bacterial small subunit ribosomal RNA", at positions 29 to 334 of the family's 1533-position model. The record is from RNAcentral.